AUGCAGACGUGCAGUGAGCUGGCUUUUCUGGAAGAAGGACUGCAAGGAAAAGCCCAGAGGGCUUCCAAAACAAUGAAGACAAUCGAGAUUAUCUCCAGCCCUCUUAAACCUGCACGGGCACACCUGGAAGGGAGGGCUGUGCUUGGGGUGAUCACUGUGACAGCAUCAUUGCCAGGGACAUAAUUCAGUAUCUGUACUUCUGAAUCACUCUUUCCCCUGACUUUGCUGCUCUGCCCAUAAACCACACUCUCUUGGUCUCAGCCACCCUCAUGACCCAUCCAUAAGUGAAUGAUUGCUACUAUUUCAAGGGGCUUUGUUCCCUACGUCCACAAAGACGUACCAGACGUGGCGACUUUCUCAUAACUAAUUCCCUUGUCCCAGUCCUUGCCGGUGCAAUCAGGACACUCCGCCAGGUUAAUCUCCCUAAAGCAAUGCCUUUCGUGAGCUGUAGCCUUACUCAAAAGCAAUGAGAAGCUCUCCGUGUUUAUCUAUUGCCGGAGCAGCUUACAGACACCAAAUAUCCCCAGCAGUACCGGUUUCCCGACAGUAGUCCGUGGCAGGGGAAGAGGACAGACUUUGGAUCUCAG
Molecule: long non-coding RNA, 587 nt
Filed under: Fukomys damarensis (Damara mole-rat)
Lineage: Eukaryota; Metazoa; Chordata; Mammalia; Rodentia; Bathyergidae
Description: lncRNA (ENSFDAG00000029154.1)
Source: RNAcentral